AUUGAACGCUGGCGGCAGGCCUAACACAUGCAAGUCGAACGGUAGCACAGAGAGCUUGUUCUCGGGUGACGAGUGGCGGACGGGUGAGUAACGUCUGGGAAACUGCCCGAUGGAGGGGGAUAACUACUGGAAACGGUAGCUAAUACCGCAUAACGUCGCAAGACCAAAGUGGGGGACCUUCGGGCCUCACACCAUCGGAUGUGCCCAGAUGGGAUUAGCUAGUAGGUGGGGUAAUGGCUCACCUAGGCGACGAUCCCUAGCUGGUCUGAGAGGAUGACCAGCCACACUGGAACUGAGACACGGUCCAGACUCCUACGGGAGGCAGCAGUGGGGAAUAUUGCACAAUGGGCGCAAGCCUGAUGCAGCCAUGCCGCGUGUAUGAAGAAGGCCUUCGGGUUGUAAAGUACUUUCAGCGGGGAGGAAGGCGGUGAAGUUAAUAGCUUCACCGAUUGACGUUACCCGCAGAAGAAGCACCGGCUAACUCCGUGCCAGCAGCAGCCGCAG
Molecule: ribosomal RNA, 504 nt
Filed under: uncultured bacterium
Lineage: Bacteria
Description: partial 16S ribosomal RNA
Rfam family: Bacterial small subunit ribosomal RNA
Source: RNAcentral